Molecule: long non-coding RNA, 280 nt
Organism: Hyposmocoma kahamanoa
Lineage: Eukaryota; Metazoa; Arthropoda; Insecta; Lepidoptera; Cosmopterigidae
Exons: 3
Source: RefSeq, a predicted model, not a curated record
GGUACCCACCCCGCCUACGUAACCAAAGAUAAGAAGAAUAAGAGAUCUGAGUGGUCAAAACAACUGACUGGCGAAGACUCUUCCUGGGAAUCAGCCUUCGCAUGUUGUCAUUGACUUUGAAUUUUCAAUCUAAAGCAUCGAAUCGUUUCUGAAUUUUUAAGAGUUGAAUGGAUUUUCGGAAGCUAUUAUUAGUCUACACUACUUCCGGCGCCUCCAUCCCUUCACCGCCGCCGCCAGUGGGCGUUGGACGUUGUCCAGUCAACCACAGAACCGCCGCAAU